AUACUGCAAGCGUUUGCACAUCUCUGACAACAACACACAGUUCCUGGAGAACUUCCUGUCUCUCAUGGUGGAGAUCACACCAGAAUCUGAAGACUGUGAGUUUCUCCUCUGUGUGUCUGUAUCUUGUAUUAUUAAGGGCCAUGCCAUUAACCCUACAACAGGUCUGUUGAACCGCUGAACAUUAUAUGGAAGGACACUUGAGGCACAAAGCAUUCUUUUGGGCAGUGUGCAAUGUGAGUUUUUCACCUGUGAUAUUUUACAAAGACUGACAGGUUACUUUAAUUGUGUGUGUGUGUGCGCAUGUGUAUCAUCACAGGUGAUCAAAGACUCAUUCAUAACCUGAUUUUGGAUUCUGGAAUCAUCUGGCAGCUAGCAUCUAGAGUGUGGAAGAACAAGGAUAUCCAAACAUCCGCAAACAGAUGAUUGAUGGCAGACCGGGUGAUAUGCGGAUUAAGACGCUUGUUAAGUCAAUUGAUGAGAUAAGUGAUCGAUACAUAGAUGUAGCACUUUGAGGUUACUGCUGGACCCCCAUCAAUGAUACAGACUACAGUCUGGUCCUGGUACUACUGACCAACAAUGAAUCCAGGCAGACCUGAGUGAUGUGAUGCUGCAGCUCCAGUUUGCAGAUCUUCAAUCUCUGCUGCCCAGCUCCUUUGAAUCAGGGGGACACGGGCUCCUGGCUCCCAGGGAAUAGUCAAGCGUUUGCACAUCUCGGACAACAACACACAGUUCCUGGAGAACUUCCUGUCUCUCAUGGUGGAGAUCACACCAGAAUCUGAACUCUAUGAGUUUCUCAUCUGUGUGUCUGUAUCUUGUAUUAUUAAGGGCCAUGCCAUUAACCCUACACCAGGUUUGUUGAACCGCUGAACAUUAUAUGGAAGGACACUUGAGGCACAAAGCAUUCUUUUGGGCAGUGUGCAAUGUGAGUUUUUCACCUGUGAUAUUUUACAAAGAUUGACAGGUUACUUUAAUUGUGUGUGUGUGUGCGCAUGUGUAUCAUCACAGGUGAUCAAAGCGUCAUUCAUAACCUGAUUUUGGAUUCUGGAAUCAUCUGGCAGCCAACAUCUGGAGUGUGGAAGAACAAGGAUAUCAAAACCUGACAGGCUCCCAGAGGCAGGGUCCCAGCUCACUCAACUGCCCCUCCCCUCUCCAACAGCCAUCAGCCUAGAACAGCAUGAAGAUGGAACUGCUAAAAGAUCAUCUAUGUAAGGGCUUUGAUAGUCGCGUUGCAGGAAUGAGGCGCAGGAAGCAACGAACACAGGGAGUGGUGUUUUUAAUAACACUGAAGCAAAAACAAAGUUCCCAAGCACAGGGGAAUAAACACAAUGAGCGACAAUGCAAAGCCGACACGAACAAGAAGUCGACAUACAAUAAUCAAUCCCGCACAACAAGGAGCGGGCCAGCUAAACUAAAUAGCCCCUCUAAUGGCUAAUUGACCACAGGUGUCCAAAAGCAAAAAAAGGGAAAAGCAAAAGGGAAUCGGUGGCAGCUAAUAGGCCGGUGACGACGACCGCCGAGCGCCACCCGAGCAGGAGGGGGCGCCACCGUCGGUGGGAAUCGUGACAAUCUAGGAAUCCUCCCUUCCUCGUGGAGCUUUUUGAAGGCUAUGAAAAAAGACAAAAGACAUGACAUUGACUCCUGAGUGUUGAACUUUUGCCCACUCUGUAGCCUCCCUGGUUAUUAUAUGACCCUGAUGGUCAUCUACGAUUGUUGGAACGUCUUUAAUAACAAUAAGGGGCAUAUGUACUCUUAAAUGUCCACUCAGCACAGCCCUCGGAGCAUGGUUCCUCUCUAGUUUUAAUCCUAGGUUUAUGACUUCUAGGGAGUGUUUCCUAGAUGCUGUGAAUCGGCAUAUGCAUUGAUGGGUCUUAGAUUUUUAGACUGGGUAUCUGUAAAACACUGACAACUGCUGAUGCAAAAAGGGGUUUUAAGAAAUACAUUUGGUUGAUUGAAAGAUUUGUAUUAUUAUCAAAAUAAUAUAACAAUAGUAUUAUUAUAAUCAUAAUCUUUAUUAUUAUUAUGUUACAGGUGUGACAUACCCAGAAAUGUCAACGUCUUGUCAAGUGCUCAAAUCUGUACAGCAGCCCCAGACAAUCAUGUACAGUAGGUCCAAUUUACAAGAAUGGGUUUACAAGGCAGUGAUGAAAACAGUUUAUAUGAGCGCUAAUUCAAACAUACAAUGAUAUAUAUUCGAUACAAUUACCCAUUCAAAACUAGUGUUACAAAAUCACUUCUCAUUGUGUUCAUUUCAAGGUUUCACAAACAUAAAACAACUAUCUAGUUAAUGUUUCUUGGACUAACACACUGUUGAGUUUCCUAUUUACUGAAGAACAAUCAUUAAGACAAAACACAAAAAGUUGUAAUGUAAUCUGUAUACAUGUCAUUCUAUACUGAAAACAGGUACAUUCUGAAAGAUUUUGAUGAUGUUGAUGUGAUAACACAUCUUUUUAUUCAUGUCUCAAUUUAGGAUAAUAGUGUUUAUUUUAAUUUUACUUAAAUUGUAUUAUUUAUGUUGUCUCAUACCAUGCUAAUACACUACCAAGCAAUGCAAACAGAUGUGGAAUUUACCCCAUAACAGUUGUGUCUUUUUGGAUCAAGAAUUGAUCAAGAAUUCCAAUAGGCGUGAUCAGAUCCUCUUUCCAUGCAGGCAUCAUAUAAUGCACAGCCACAUGCAAAUCCAUAAACUCCACCAAUAAAACAUUGAAAACCUUAA
Non-coding RNA from Salmo salar (Atlantic salmon), 2713 nucleotides. Lineage: Eukaryota; Metazoa; Chordata; Actinopteri; Salmoniformes; Salmonidae. The record is from RefSeq and is a predicted model, not a curated record.